AGUGAACGCUGGCGGUAGGCCUAACACAUGCAAGUCGAACGGCAGCACAGUAAGAGCUUGCUCUUACGGGUGGCGAGUGGCGGACGGGUGAGGAAUACAUCGGAAUCUACUUUUUCGUGGGGGAUAACGUAGGGAAACUUACGCUAAUACCGCAUACGCCCUACGGGUGAAAGCAGGGGAUCUUCGGACCUUGCGCGAUUGAAUGAGCCGAUGUCGGAUUAGCUAGUUGGCGGGGUAAAGGCCCACCAAGGCGACGAUCCGUAGCUGGUCUGAGAGGAUGAUCAGCCACACUGGAACUGAGACACGGUCCAGACUCCUACGGGAGGCAGCAGUGGGGAAUAUUGGACAAUGGGCGCAAGCCUGAUCCAGCCAUACCGCGUGGGUGAAGAAGGCCUUCGGGUUGUAAAGCCCUUUUGUUGGGAAAGAAAAGCAGCAGGUUAAUACCCCGCGGUUCUGACGGUACCCAAAGAAUAAGCACCGGCUAACUUCGUG
This 492-nucleotide ribosomal RNA is filed under the name uncultured bacterium. Its description in RNAcentral is "partial 16S ribosomal RNA". It matches the Rfam family "Bacterial small subunit ribosomal RNA", at positions 29 to 507 of the family's 1533-position model. The record is from RNAcentral.